GGUUAAGCGACUAAGCGUACACGGUGGAUGCCCUGGCAGUCAGAGGCGAUGAAGGACGUGCUAAUCUGCGAUAAGCGUCGGUAAGGUGAUAUGAACCGUUAUAACCGGCGAUUUCCGAAUGGGGAAACCCAGUGUGAUUCGACACACUAUCAUUAACUGAAUCCAUAGGUUAAUGAGGCGAACCGGGGGAACUGAAACAUCUAAGUACCCCGAGGAAAAGAAAUCAACCGAGAUUCCCCCAGUAGCGGCGAGCGAACGGGGAGCAGCCCAGAGCCUGAAUCAGUGUGUGUGUUAGUGGAAGCGUCUGGAAAGGCGCGCGAUACAGGGUGACAGCCCCGUACACAAAAAUGCACAUGCUGUGAGCUCGAUGAGUAGGGCGGGACACGUGGUAUCCUGUCUGAAUAUGGGGGGACCAUCCUCCAAGGCUAAAUACUCCUGACUGACCGAUAGUGAACCAGUACCGUGAGGGAAAGGCGAAAAGAACCCCGGCGAGGGGAGUGAAAAAGAACCUGAAACCGUGUACGUACAAGCAGUGGGAGCACGCUUAGGCGUGUGACUGCGUACCUUUUGUAUAAUGGGUCAGCGACUUAUAUUCUGUAGCAAGGUUAACCGAAUAGGGGAGCCGAAGGGAAACCGAGUCUUAACUGGGCGUUAAGUUGCAGGGUAUAGACCCGAAACCCGGUGAUCUAGCCAUGGGCAGGUUGAAGGUUGGGUAACACUAACUGGAGGACCGAACCGACUAAUGUUGAAAAAUUAGCGGAUGACUUGUGGCUGGGGGUGAAAGGCCAAUCAAACCGGGAGAUAGCUGGUUCUCCCCGAAAGCUAUUUAGGUAGCGCCUCGUGAAUUCAUCUCCGGGGGUAGAGCACUGUUUCGGCAAGGGGGUCAUCCCGACUUACCAACCCGAUGCAAACUGCGAAUACCGGAGAAUGUUAUCACGGGAGACACACGGCGGGUGCUAACGUCCGUCGUGAAGAGGGAAACAACCCAGACCGCCAGCUAAGGUCCCAAAGUCAUGGUUAAGUGGGAAACGAUGUGGGAAGGCCCAGACAGCCAGGAUGUUGGCUUAGAAGCAGCCAUCAUUUAAAGAAAGCGUAAUAGCUCACUGGUCGAGUCGGCCUGCGCGGAAGAUGUAACGGGGCUAAACCAUGCACCGAAGCUGCGGCAGCGACGCUGAUGCGUUGUUGGGUAGGGGAGCGUUCUGUAAGCCUGCGAAGGUGUGCUGUGAGGCAUGCUGGAGGUAUCAGAAGUGCGAAUGCUGACAUAAGUAACGAUAAAGCGGGUGAAAAGCCCGCUCGCCGGAAGACCAAGGGUUCCUGUCCAACGUUAAUCGGGGCAGGGUGAGUCGACCCCUAAGGCGAGGCCGAAAGGCGUAGUCGAUGGGAAACAGGUUAAUAUUCCUGUACUUGGUGUUACUGCGAAGGGGGGACGGAGAAGGCUAUGUUGGCCGGGCGACGGUUGUCCCGGUUUAAGCGUGUAGGCUGGUUUUCCAGGCAAAUCCGGAAAAUCAAGGCUGAGGCGUGAUGACGAGGCACUACGGUGCUGAAGCAACAAAUGCCCUGCUUCCAGGAAAAGCCUCUAAGCAUCAGGUAACAUCAAAUCGUACCCCAAACCGACACAGGUGGUCAGGUAGAGAAUACCAAGGCGCUUGAGAGAACUCGGGUGAAGGAACUAGGCAAAAUGGUGCCGUAACUUCGGGAGAAGGCACGCUGAUAUGUAGGUGAAGUCCCUCGCGGAUGGAGCUGAAAUCAGUCGAAGAUACCAGCUGGCUGCAACUGUUUAUUAAAAACACAGCACUGUGCAAACACGAAAGUGGACGUAUACGGUGUGACGCCUGCCCGGUGCCGGAAGGUUAAUUGAUGGGGUCAGCGCAAGCGAAGCUCUUGAUCGAAGCCCCGGUAAACGGCGGCCGUAACUAUAACGGUCCUAAGGUAGCGAAAUUCCUUGUCGGGUAAGUUCCGACCUGCACGAAUGGCGUAAUGAUGGCCAGGCUGUCUCCACCCGAGACUCAGUGAAAUUGAACUCGCUGUGAAGAUGCAGUGUACCCGCGGCAAGACGGAAAGACCCCGUGAACCUUUACUAUAGCUUGACACUGAACAUUGAGCCUUGAUGUGUAGGAUAGGUGGGAGGCUUUGAAGUGUGGACGCCAGUCUGCAUGGAGCCGACCUUGAAAUACCACCCUUUAAUGUUUGAUGUUCUAACGUGGACCCGUAAUCCGGGUUGCGGACAGUGUCUGGUGGGUAGUUUGACUGGGGCGGUCUCCUCCUAAAGAGUAACGGAGGAGCACGAAGGUUGGCUAAUCCUGGUCGGACAUCAGGAGGUUAGUGCAAUGGCAUAAGCCAGCUUGACUGCGAGCGUGACGGCGCGAGCAGGUGCGAAAGCAGGUCAUAGUGAUCCGGUGGUUCUGAAUGGAAGGGCCAUCGCUCAACGGAUAAAAGGUACUCCGGGGAUAACAGGCUGAUACCGCCCAAGAGUUCAUAUCGACGGCGGUGUUUGGCACCUCGAUGUCGGCUCAUCACAUCCUGGGGCUGAAGUAGGUCCCAAGGGUAUGGCUGUUCGCCAUUUAAAGUGGUACGCGAGCUGGGUUUAGAACGUCGUGAGACAGUUCGGUCCCUAUCUGCCGUGGGCGCUGGAGAACUGAGGGGGGCUGCUCCUAGUACGAGAGGACCGGAGUGGACGCAUCACUGGUGUUCGGGUUGUCAUGCCAAUGGCACUGCCCGGUAGCUAAAUGCGGAAGAGAUAAGUGCUGAAAGCAUCUAAGCACGAAACUUGCCCCGAGAUGAGUUCUCCCUGACUCCUUGAGAGUCCUGAAGGAACGUUGAAGACGACGACGUUGAUAGGCCGGGUGUGUAAGCGCAGCGAUGCGUUGAGCUAACCGGUACUAAUGAACCGUGAGGCUUAACCUU
Molecule: ribosomal RNA, 2904 nt
Filed under: Escherichia coli
Lineage: Bacteria; Pseudomonadati; Pseudomonadota; Gammaproteobacteria; Enterobacterales; Enterobacteriaceae
Description: 23S ribosomal RNA
Rfam family: Bacterial large subunit ribosomal RNA
Source: RNAcentral